This 251-nucleotide long non-coding RNA is filed under the name Mytilus galloprovincialis (Mediterranean mussel). The record is from RNAcentral. Lineage: Eukaryota; Metazoa; Mollusca; Bivalvia; Mytilida; Mytilidae.
CCUUUGUGAUAUGGAACCUUGUAGUGUUGUGAUAUGGAACCUUGUAGUGUUGUGAUAUGGAACCUUGUAGUACAAUUUCAGAAAGAUCCAUACACUUACACACAAGUUAUUGUCAUGAAACUAGAAAAAUGCUUGUUUUUGCCCCUUUUUUGGCCCCUAAUUCCUAAAAUUUUGAGGCAAUUACCCCCAUAAUCAAUCCCAGCAUUCCCUUUGUGAUAUGGAACCUUGUGGUACAAUGUCAGAGAGAUCCA